AACGAACGCUGGCGGCGCGCCUAAUACAUGCAAGUCGAGCGAGAAGGUGUAGCAAUACACUUGUAAAGCGGCGAACGGGUGAGGAAUACAUGGGUAACCUACCCUCGAGUGGGGAAUAACUAGCCGAAAGGUUAGCUAAUACCGCAUACGAUUCCAGGACUUCGGUCCUGGAAGGAAAGCACUACCGUGGGUAGUGCGCUCCUGGAUGGGCUCAUGUCCUAUCAGCNGUUGGUGAGGUAAAGGCUCACCAAGGCUUCGACGGGUAGCUGGUCUGAGAGGACGAUCAGCCACACUGGCACUGCGACACGGGCCAGACUCCUACGGGAGGCAGCAGUAAGGAAUAUUGCGCAAUGGGCGAAAGCCUGACGCAGCGACGCCGCGGUGGGGGA
Molecule: ribosomal RNA, 389 nt
Filed under: uncultured bacterium
Lineage: Bacteria
Description: bacterial SSU rRNA
Rfam family: Bacterial small subunit ribosomal RNA
Source: RNAcentral